UACGAAGGUGGCAAGCGUUACUCGGAAUUACUAGGCGUAAAGCGCAGGUAGGCGGUUCGAUAAGUCUUUUGUGAAAGCUCCCGGCUUAACUGGGAGAGGCCAAGGGAAACUGUCGGACUAGAGUGUGGUAGAGGGUGCUGGAAUUCCCGGUGUAGCGGUGAAAUGCGUAGAGAUCGGGAGGAAUACCUAUGGCGAAAGCAGGCGCCUGGGCCAUCACUGACGCUGAGCUGCGAAAGCGUGGGGAGCAAACAGG
Molecule: ribosomal RNA, 253 nt
Filed under: uncultured bacterium
Lineage: Bacteria
Description: partial 16S ribosomal RNA
Rfam family: Bacterial small subunit ribosomal RNA
Source: RNAcentral